AUGGGCAGAGGGAGCCAGGAGCGGAAAGGAUCGGCGUGCGUGGUUCGGGGACGUGACUGCAAGUGCGCGGAGUGGGAUGCCUUGGGAAGGGCUGGGACGUCUCCACCUGGGCGAGGAGAGAUCCCGGUGAGUGGAGAAGGGAUUUCUCAAGCCCGUGAGCUCCUUGUUGUGCAGUUGGCUGCCACCUUCCUGGACUCGCUGGCUGAUGCCUCCAGGAUCCUCCAGGAGGGUCCCGACCUGCUGCAGCGAUGGCACCGCGAGGAGGAAGCUCAUGAACAGAGGGUUCCUGCAGUGCCUCGCAUCCCACCGCUGCAGGGAGGGACGGGGAACCAAGGGAAAACCCCACCUAACUCCUGUACACCUCCGGUACCCCAAACACCCCCAGCAGGACCACAGCGCUCAGAGAGAUCUGAGCAAGCCACAGCUCCAAAAUGCUGGGUGCACGAAGGGGGCAGGAGGCAGGUCGGAGCUGGCCGGACCCUGCUUUCAGCAGGUUUUUGAGGUUGGGCUCUGCUCAUGGAGCAGGGCUUGGCCCUUGCUGCUCAACCACAGGGCACCGCGUGUGUGUGGAGCCCCCAGGACUGUGACCAUCUCCGGGCCAGGCAGCCCUGCUGCUGCUUUCUUGCACUGUAAAAAAAAUUAAAAAAGAAGACUGUCUGUAAUUGUCUCCCGUUAACAUCACCCCCACCCCUCGCGCUGUUGAAAAUAAACUCUCCUUUUUGCAAAAGCGAAGCCGUGUCAUCUGCUGCGCUCUCUGGACGGAGGAGGUGCCGGGCCCACAACGCCCCCAGCCGCAGGGGGAGCAGCCCAGCCCGAGCUGCGUGGUGCCCGAGCGAUCUUUAUUUGGUCUGCGCCCUGUCUGGGAAGCGGCCGCUAAACCCAAGGCAAACAGGCCCUGUGAAAGAGGAUAAUGAAUAUGUCUCCAAAACGAUUUGGAGCCCUUCUGCUUGCGGAGCGGGGUUCCCCAUUGUGCCCGGCUCCCGGCGUGCUCUCGGCGGAGCGCGCGAGGUGGCUGCUUUCCCAGCUGAAACCCUAAAAAAAAAAGAAAAAAAAAAAAGAAAAAAAAAAAAGCAAACAAUGGGUCAAGGCCCGCAUUGUGCGCGCCCAGGCAGGCAGAAGGAGCGCAGCCCGGCAUGGCCAAGUUCAAGGCUGGGCAGGGGGCCGGGCGCGCGGGGAUGCUAAUGGGGCUGCCGAGCCUCGGGGCCGGGAGCAGGGGGGCCGGGGGCUCUGCGUGUCCUCGUCCUGCGUGGCCACCAGCGCCCCAAAAACUCCUCGUGGGGAGCACUGGGGGUGGGUGCCCAGGGGAGCAAGGGGAGCUGCUGGUACUCGGAGCGGGGUGGGUUAUCGGGGUGCUGGUGUUACUGGGAGGGGGUGUUACGAGCUGGGUCUUGGGUUAGAGGGGGAACUGGGGUCGCUGGUGGGUUGUACUGGGGAAACUGGUGCUGCGGGGAGAAGGGGAAUGGAAAGAGAGGCGAUGGCUGCAGGCAGCCCGUGUGCAGUGCCUGGCAGGGGCAUCCUGCGGGGUGGGGGCGGCUUUGGGAUCCCUGCAGAGGACGAGGCUCGGCCGCUCUGAGGACGCAGCCCAGCGGCAGCCGGAGCCCCCCCGGCNNNNNNNNNNGUGGAAAAACACCAUGGAGGGCCCGCACAAAGGGGGUUUUAUUCAAAUUUGUUUAGAGUUUAGCGGAUUUGCAUGAAAAAUGUGUGAGAAAAGCCGGCUCCAAUGACCUCAUCCCCAGCUGCCAUUAAUGUUCAAUUAAGUGCUGAAUAGCGGCAAAGGGGGGACCGGCCGGGACGUGCAGAGAAUCCAGGCUCGGGCGCAGACUGUGAGAACCGGGCGGCCCCCCCCCGGCCGUCUGGCCCCGGCCAGCCCCGACGGGGUCCCCCCCCCCNNNNNNNNNNNNNNNNNNNNNNNNNNNNNNNNNNNNNNNNNNNNNNNNNNNNNNNNNNNNNNNNNNNNNNNNNCCCGCCGCCCCCCUGGCAGCGGCGCUCCGGGAGCUGCGCUCAGCCCGACGGGGCCCCCUCCGGGUCACCCCCCCCUCCCCCGAGGUUUAAAAUAAUGGGGACCCCUCCUCCUGGGGGGGGGAUGUCUGGGUGUCUGGGUGCUGCUGGCUCUCCCCUGCAGCCCCCGUUGUGGGGGGGACACACACAGAGCCCCCACCGCCCGUCCCGGCCGGGCCAGAGCCGCUCUCCGCCUCGCAGCCGGUGUCAAAGCCCAAGUUCAAGUCCACGCCGAGGGGGCUCUGCCCCGGGAUUCCCAGCUCCUUCCCAUCCUCCGCCUUUUGUUCGCCUCUGACAAUUGCUCUUUAUUUCUUACACACCCCCCAGCCUCCCCCCCGCGAGNNNNNNNNNNNNNNNNNNNNNNNNNNNNNNNNNNNNNNNNNNNNNNNNNNNNNNNNNNNNNNNNNNGGCCCCCCCCAAGGCCCCUGCGCCCCCGGGACGGCCCUCGGGAAAGGGACCCCCCCAAAAAAAAAAAAAAAAAUUGAAUCCCCGGGAGCUGCCUCUGCGACAGGGCGCGCCGGGACGGGCAAGUUUGGGGCUGUGUCACUGCACCCCCAGCACCCCCAAAAAAAAAAAAGAUACAAAGAUCCUUUCCCAGGGCUUGCUGUGGGGUUGUAGUGGCCGUGGGUGCCCCCCCAGGAGUGCCCCCCCCACACCCCUUCCCCCCGCAGGGGUGUGCGGCCGGGCCGGGGUGCGGGGAUGCUCGGCGCUGCCUGGCGGGGGGAGGUGGGGAGGCCGAGGGGGACUUCCCCAAACUUCCUCCGCCCCCCUCGGGAGGGGAACACCCACCUCGGAGCGGGCCCGGUGGGCUCGGGGGGGACCCCGGCGAGCCGGCACCCCCGGCGGCUUCCCACCUGCAGCCGGGGAGCGCCGGUAAAACCCGGCCCGCUGCCGUCGGGGCGCUGGGGAAGGGGGGCGCAGGGGGAGCAGAGGGCUCCCGGUGGGCAAACCCCACCCCCGGGGCCUCCUCCGCCCCCCCCCGGGGGGGCAGCUGGGCCCCUCGGGGCGCCGUAGGGCCGGGGUGCCCGUGGGGAGCGCGGUUUAACGGGGGGGGGGUCGCACUUGGGGAUAUAGGGGGGGACAGCGGCGGAUCCGGGGUGCCCAGCCCCGGGCUUGGCACCUGAGCUGGGGGGGCACAGCUCCUGCGGCCGUGCCCUCCUCACGGGGGGGGGUUCAACCCACGCAGGACACCCCACGCGUGCCGGCACCGCGCUGGGAUGCGCCGGGGGGGAGCGGGGUCGGAGCGGGGCCGCGGGGCCGCGGCUGCCCCCAGGCCUCGGGCACGGGCGGGCAGAUUUGGUUUUGCGCUUAUUUUAUUUUAUUUUUUUAUUAUUAUUAUUUCUUUGAAGACAAAUUUGGGGGAAGGGGGUGGAACGAAGCUUCCCCCCCCGCGGUUAAAAUAGAGAUAAGGCAAGGCGGGAACGAAAACACCUUAUCUGGGCGGGGAAGGCGAGAUUUGGGGGCAAAAAAAAAAAAAAGAACAAAAAAUAAAAAUAAAAAGGAGAGGUGAGAGGCUGGGAUAUGGUGUGGGAAGGCAGGAGGGGGUCCUGAGGAGCCGAGACCCUUCCCCACGCCCUGCGCAGCCCCGCGGGGGCCCUUCCCCGGCUCCCCAGGUCCCCCGUGCGCCUGUUAAAGAUCCACGCGUCCCACGCGUCCCACGCGCCCUCGGGGGCGCCACGAUUCCCCUCGGCGCAACACGAGGGCCGUUUCCCCACGGCCGUUAUCCCCGCAAUCACCCCGGGGGGGUGAUUUUUAUUUUUUUUGGGGGGGGAGCGGCUGGGCACAGCCGGUGCCCAUCCCUCGGUGCGCCCCAAGGCAGGAGCCCCGCGCUCCAAGGCGGCGCACGUUUGAAAAUAGCAGGAUUGGCGCACAUCGGGGCGCGGACACGCCCGCUGAUGUGGGAGAGGCUUUAUUAUCGUUAUUUAUUUUUUUUUCUGUAGCUAUUUAAAAAAAAAUAAAAAUAAAAGCGCCCCGGUGCCUCUAAUUUCCGUCCCAUCCGUGCGCUGCCUGGCGAGCCUCCCCCCAUUCUCCGCCGCCUUGGGGACCCCCACGCGUGUUUGGACCCACGGGGCUGCGUGUCCCAGUGGGAUUUCCUCCCCUUCCCGACCCUGCAGGGAUAAAACCACCUCCGGGACCCCCACCCGAAACCCUGGGGGGGGACCGCGGCCGUGGUGGACCCGCAGCGGGCACGAGGUGCGCGGGGCCGGCGUCGGGAGGCGUCGGAGCCCCUCGGGGCGGGGGGGGCAAAGCGACUUUUCCCCCCGAUCGGUCGGCAAUCAGAAAUCCCCUGCGCAUGGAAACAGCCCUAAUCGGCGGGGGGGGGAGGGAGGGAGGAGAUGGAUGGAGGGGGUGAGGAGAUGGAGGGGGGGAAGGAAGGAUGGAGGGAAGAAGGAGGGAUGGAGGAGGGAUGGAGAGGAGAAGGAGGAAUGGAGGGGGGGAAGGAGGGAUGGAGGAGGGAUGGAAGAGAGAAGGAGGGAUGGAGGGGAGG
RNAcentral lists this long non-coding RNA (4486 nucleotides) under Anas zonorhyncha (Eastern spot-billed duck). Its description in RNAcentral is "lncRNA (ENSAZOG00000008172.1)". The record is from RNAcentral. Lineage: Eukaryota; Metazoa; Chordata; Aves; Anseriformes; Anatidae.